This 448-nucleotide ribosomal RNA is filed under the name uncultured bacterium. Its description in RNAcentral is "bacterial SSU rRNA". It matches the Rfam family "Bacterial small subunit ribosomal RNA", at positions 28 to 458 of the family's 1533-position model. The record is from RNAcentral.
GAUGAACGCUGGCGGCGUGCUUAACACAUGCAAGUCGAGCGAAGCACCUUGACGGAUUUCUUCGGAUUGAAGCCUUGGUGACUGAGCGGCGGACGGGUGAGUAACGCGUGGGUAACCUGCCUCAUACAGGGGGAUAACAGUUGGAAACGGCUGCUAAUACCGCAUAAGCGCACAGUACCGCAUGGUACGGUGUGAAAAGCUCCGGUGGUAUGAGAUGGACCCGCGUCUGAUUAGGUAGUUGGUGGGGUAACGGCCUACCAAGCCGACGAUCAGUAGCCGACCUGAGAGGGUGACCGGCCACAUUGGGACUGAGACACGGCCCAAACUCCUACGGGAGGCAGCAGUGGGGAAUAUUGCACAAUGGGGGAAACCCUGAUGCAGCGACGCCGCGUGAGCGAUGAAGUAUUUCGGUAUGUAAAGCUCUAUCAGCAGGGAAGAAAAUGACGGU